This 240-nucleotide long non-coding RNA is filed under the name Ananas comosus (pineapple). RNAcentral's name for it is "long non-coding RNA (ACOM_LNC033226)". The record is from RNAcentral. Lineage: Eukaryota; Viridiplantae; Streptophyta; Magnoliopsida; Poales; Bromeliaceae.
GCACUUUGCGAAUUUUAGUGUCAGAACUCCACUCUCGCCUCGCGUUGAGUCUGUUUUGCAUUUAUUUCACGCCAAAAUGACUCCGACUUGUCCCGACACUCUUCAGAUGUGUCGACAAGCCUUAGAUGCUGAAAACUCACAAACAACCAAACAUCAGGUACACUCCAUCCUUCCCACUACAAAAAGUUUCGUUCUCGAAACUUAGAAUCAUACCUCAAACCUCAGCCUCAAACAAGUAGG